CAGUCGCCGCGGUAAUACAGAGGGUGCGAGCGUUAAUCGGAUUUACUGGGCGUAAAGCGUGCGUAGGCGGCUUCUUAAGUCGGAUGUGAAAUCCCUGAGCUUAACUUAGGAAUUGCAUUCGAUACUGGGAAGCUAGAGUAUGGGAGAGGAUGGUAGAAUUCCAGGUGUAGCGUUGAAAUGCGUAGAGAUCUGGAGGAAUACCGAUGGCGAAGGCAGCCAUCUGGCCUAAUACUGACGCUGAGGUACGAAAGCAUGGGGAGCAAACAGGAUUAGAUACCCGUGUAGUCCCUGUCUCUUAUAC
This 301-nucleotide ribosomal RNA is filed under the name uncultured bacterium. RNAcentral's name for it is "partial 16S ribosomal RNA". It matches the Rfam family "Bacterial small subunit ribosomal RNA", at positions 509 to 807 of the family's 1533-position model. The record is from RNAcentral.